ACCCUUUUGUAGUUCAUAAGCAUGAUGAUUGAGUUUUCAGGUGCAUGGGUGAGAUGUGCCUCCCUCAAAUUGUUCAGACAUUGGCACAUUACCUCUCUGAUG
Molecule: small nucleolar RNA, 102 nt
Organism: Pan troglodytes (chimpanzee)
Lineage: Eukaryota; Metazoa; Chordata; Mammalia; Primates; Hominidae
Product: small nucleolar RNA U13
Exons: 1
Source: RefSeq, a predicted model, not a curated record